GAGGGUUUAGCUCAGUAGUACAGCACCUGCCUGGCAAGCAUGAGAUCCUGAGUUUGAUUCCCAGUACCCCCC
This 72-nucleotide transfer RNA is filed under the name Cavia porcellus (domestic guinea pig). It matches the Rfam family "tRNA". From Rfam's summary of the family: Transfer RNA (tRNA) molecules are approximately 80 nucleotides in length. Lineage: Eukaryota; Metazoa; Chordata; Mammalia; Rodentia; Caviidae. The record is from Rfam by way of RNAcentral.